This 215-nucleotide long non-coding RNA is filed under the name Sorghum bicolor (sorghum). RNAcentral's name for it is "long non-coding RNA (SBIC_LNC014011)". Lineage: Eukaryota; Viridiplantae; Streptophyta; Magnoliopsida; Poales; Poaceae. The record is from RNAcentral.
AAAAGACUAUAUAAGCAAGGCCCCCUGGCCCCGGGAGAGCAUACCUCUUCUACAGAAUCAAAGCUAGUGUUUCAAUUCUUCAUCCAAGUAGAAAGGAUCCCUCUAGUUCAUCUAGUUCUAGUUCUAGUUCCUCUAGUUCUAGUUCUAGUUAGUUCUAGUUGCAAUCUAGACAAUAGGGAGAGAGAAGAGGAGGGGAGGAGGAGGAGCCGGAUCUG